RNAcentral lists this ribosomal RNA (459 nucleotides) under uncultured bacterium. RNAcentral describes it as "partial 16S ribosomal RNA". It matches the Rfam family "Bacterial small subunit ribosomal RNA", at positions 29 to 507 of the family's 1533-position model. The record is from RNAcentral.
AACGAACGCUGGCGGCAUGCCUAACACAUGCAAGUCGAACGAGACCUUCGGGUCUAGUGGCGCACGGGUGCGUAACGCGUGGGAACCUGCCCUUAGGUUCGGAAUAACUCCCCGAAAGGGGUGCUAAUACCGGAUAAUGUCUUCGGACCAAAGAUUUAUCGCCUUUGGAUGGGCCCGCGUUGGAUUAGCUAGUUGGUAGGGUAAAAGCCUACCAAGGCGACGAUCCAUAGCUGGUCUGAGAGGAUGAUCAGCCACACUGGGACUGAGACACGGCCCAGACUCCUACGGGAGGCAGCAGUAGGGAAUCUUCGGCAAUGGACGGAAGUCUGACCGAGCAACGCCGCGUGAGUGAAGAAGGUUUUCGGAUCGUAAAGCUCUGUUGUAAGAGAAGAACGAGUGUGAGAGUGGAAAGUUCACACUGUGACGGUAUCUUACCAGAAAGGGACGGCUAACUACGUG